GAUCAUGGCUCAGGAUGAACGCUGACAGAAUGCUUAACACAUGCAAGUCUACUUGAAUUUGGGUCCUAGACUUAGAUUUGGGUGGCGGACGGGUGAGUAACGCGUAAAGAACUUGCCUCACAGUUAGGGACAACAUUUGGAAACGAAUGCUAAUACCUGAUAUUAUGAUUUUAGGGCAUCCUAAGAUUAUGAAAACUAUAUGUGCUGUGAGAGAGCUUUGCGUCCCAUUAG
This 231-nucleotide ribosomal RNA is filed under the name uncultured bacterium. RNAcentral's name for it is "partial 16S ribosomal RNA". It matches the Rfam family "Bacterial small subunit ribosomal RNA", at positions 15 to 244 of the family's 1533-position model. The record is from RNAcentral.